CGGUGCGGAUGCCUGGUAGGCAUGAGUAGUCUAGCGCUGCUAUUACUACUGGUGUCGUGGUCACACCCACCUCGCACCUUUACCACCUAUUGUGGUCUGUUUUCCGCUGCUACAUUUCGUUGUAUUCUGGUACGUCUCAACCAGACUCACUACAGAUUUGGUAUCGAGACCAUAGGUCCAUGGGACAGCGGCAGUCCCUCAUUCCGGGCCGCAUUGAUAGGGAGUGCGAACAUUUCGCACGUCUGACUAUCUCUCCCAGUAAGUAACUUCUUACUGCAAGUAAGUUGUUCGAUUAGCUGUCCCGGUGAGCAAGAUCCUACUGUAUUGUAGUGAACGGGACAGGCGGAACAAACGACCCCGGUGGGUCACUCGACGUCGCUAUGGCGUCAGGCUCCUCAGGGAACCCAGGUGGGUUCAACCUUGCCAGUUGGCAAUGGGGCGCAGGUUGGGGCCCGGCGCAGAAUGCUGCCGCACCAGGUGGAGUUAACCUGAAUAUCCCCUUUCAGCAAGUUGCUGAUGCCGCAGCUGCGCCUGCUGCUGCUGCUGCCCCUGCAGCGGGUGAGGCUGGCGCUGCCGCUCCCCCGUUGGCACCCGUUGUGCCCGUGCCCGUCGCACCUGUUGGUCAACCAGUAAUCCCUAUUGCUGGAGCACCCGCCGCUGGCGCAAUGCCAGACCCCGCACAGCCCGUUGCUGUGCCAGCAGCUGUUGCGGUCGCACAGCUCCCGGAUGCGCAGAUGGCUCCACCUUCCUUUGCUGCUGCUGUGGCGGCACCCGCUCCAGUACACGCUGGACCUGUCCAGGCGCCGCCCGUCGCUGCCCCUAUUCAGCCGGCCAACGCGGGUGUGGGCCGUGGUGCUGGAGGCCGUGGCCGGGGUGGUGGACGUGGUGGUGGCCCAGCAGGCCGCAUGGCCGGACGCAAUGGUCCAGGUGGGGGUCGCGGACAGGGAGGCCGGGGUAAUGUUAACCCGGGUCGAGGCCGUGGUGCCCGAGGAGGAGCCGCCGCAGGUCGCGGUGCAGAGGCUGCCGGUCGCGGUGCGGGCCGAAUGGUCCAGGGCGAAUGGCAACAAGUGAUGGGACGGAAGCGUCAGCGGGUGAACCUGGCACUGUCUAACAAGCCAGCGCCUGGUGGGGGGUACCUACCAAAAGCGCAGAUUGAACUGGCGAUGUCCCUCCACGGUUGCUGGGUGUGCCUGGGUUUGGAUCACACCUAUCACAACUGUCCUCGUUGGAACGAGGAUGCUGGCGCCGGUGGUGCCGGUGGCACUGUUGCCUAGGGAGUUGCCCCUCCGAGGUUCGUUCGGCGCCCGGAUGGGAAUUGUCUUUGGUCCAAGUAUUGGCAGGGUUUGGGACGAUCAGUGCACGAAAGCGAAGUUGCUAGUAUUGUAACCACUGUGGGCCGAGAGUUCACUUUAGAUGCAUGUGCAUCAGACUGCGGCUUGUCUGCCGUAUGUAACGCUUUCUCGUGUACAGCCCGCCCAUGCCUUGAUACCAACGUUGCCGGACAUACAGUCUGGAUGGCUCCGAAUGCAGCUGACUUGCCUGCGUACGUAACGCAGUAUCGUGCCUGUAAGCCGCUGGCUCCACAGUCAACAGCAGCUUGCAUACUAGUUCCUAGUGGAACGGAACCAUCUUUGUUAAAAGGCAUGAAAUUGGUACGACGAUACCCAGUGGGUACCUCUUUGUUUUACGUACCAGAUGUACAAGGAAGCCGCGCGCUUCUUCCUCCUAUUACUGAAGUUAUGGAGGUAUGGUAUGAUGGUCCAGACAGCACGGAAGAAAUCCCUGCCUGUAUGGCUUUUGGGAAGGCUGUUCCUCACCUAGCAGUGAAGAUUUCAGGGUCUACGUUUAUAGCCAUGUUGGAUUCGGGAGCUACGCAUAGCUUCGUUUCCGAGGCGCUGGUGCGUCUUCUUCAUCUUCACGUGCUACCCUCAACCUUCACGUACGUACGGUUGGCGGAUGGUGGAAUGUCCCCCAUCGUUGGUCAAACGAUGCUGAAGGUGAGAGUGGGACCGGUGCGGUUGGUAGUACCUGCCCUAGUGAUGAAGGGGUUGCCAACCUCGGCUGAUCUGAUCUUAGGUGCGAAUAUCUUAGAGCAAAGUCGAAUGCGAAUCGAUUUUGACACCAGAGUGGUAACACUCCGGAAGGGUACGCAAGAGUUUCGUCGUACCUAUUCGCACGGAAAGGAGGAUCCUUCCAAAGAUCAGCGCCCAAAACAUCACGUUAUCAUGACAAUGCAAGCCAGGGCAGAGUGCUUAUCAAUUAAUCGCACACAGGCGAAAAACAUGAUGCGAAAGGGAGCGCACGUGUUAUUAGUCCGUCCGCGGCUAACUGCUGGCGCAGUAGUACGCGCAGCUGCGACCCGUGGGUCAGGUGGGCCGGACGUACCGACUACCUCAGCCGCUGAAGUAAAAGUGACGGAUCCAGAAAUCGCCGCCUUGUUGGAGCGAUAUCAGGAUAUCUUUGCGGACAUAACUGAGCCACCUCCUGAAAGAUUGGUGACUCAUACCAUCCCGCUGGUCGAAGGUGCUCAGCCCGUUGCUCGGCCCCUAUAUCGACUAACUCCAAAUGAAUUGGAGGAAGUUAAACGACAAGUUGAAGACUUGUUGCGUAAAGGGAUGAUACGGCCAAGUAGUUCGCCGUGGGCUGCACCAAUCCUUUUCGUUGCUAAAAAGGACGGCACACUACGAAUGGUUGUAGACUAUCGUGGGCUAAACGCUCAAACGGUAAAGAACCGGUAUCCUUCACCACGGAUCGAUGAUCUAGUCGAUAGUCUCGGUGGUAGUACAGUGUACUCAUCCAUCGACCUUCAACAAGGAUAUAACCAAAUUCGUAUUCGUAACGAAGAUGUUCCGCAAACGGCAUUCCGGACACCCCUCGGUCACUAUGAGUAUGUAGUGUUACCGUUCGGUCUGACCAAUGCUCCCGCUACGUUUCAAACAGUUAUGAAUCGUGUCAUGGAACCGUUUAUUGGUCGCUUUGUGGUGGUGUACCUGGAUGAUAUCUUGAUUCAUUCACGAAGUCGUGAAGAGCAUUUACGACACUUGGAACAGGUUUUCGAAGUGCUCAGACGGGAACGUCUCCACGCCAAAGCCUCAAAAUGUCACUGGGCACAAACAGAGUUAGAGUACCUGGGACAUAUUAUCAGUACGUCAGGUGUACGUCCUGAUCCCAAGAAAGUCCGCGUUGUGCGUGACUGGCCGUUACCUAAGGGUGUAUUUCCAGUGCGGAUUAAGGCCAGGGAUUAGCGUUAAUCCCUGCGCUAAUCCCGGCAGUGGAAAUCCCACCGGGAUUAAGCAGGAUUAGCCGGGGAUUAAGAAAUUCCUCAGGACACCGUGUUCUCUAAUCAGAAGAUUAGCGGGAGCUAGCAAGAGAUUAGGAAAGAACAUAAACUGAACUUGAUGCCCAUGUAUUUACCUGGCAACCUGUGACAAAAAAGUUAUUAGGGUGUAUUUCCAGUGCGGAUUAAGGCCAGGGAUUAGCGUUAAUCCCUGCGCUAAUCCCGGCAGUGGAAAUCCCACCGGGAUUAAGCAGGAUUAGCCGGGGAUUAAGAAAUUCCUCAGGACACCGUGUUCUCUAAUCAGAAGAUUAGCGGGAGCUAGCAAGAGAUUAGGAAAGAACAUAAACUGAACUUGAUGCCCAUGUAUUUACCUGGCAACCUGUGACAAAAAAGUUAUUACCUGGCUCGAGCCAGGUAGUAACUUUCCGUAUCUGGAUUAGCAUUCACGGCGCCAUGUCUGACGUUAAUUUCUAGGUAGUUCCAUAUAUAUGAUCUCAAAUAAGCAAUUCCUGUUUUGGGUUGCUCAAAAGGUGAUGAAGAGAUGAACGGCGAGAAGAGUGCGCUUCCUGUUCAUAUCUAAUACUGAUUCAAUUCCUAAUGCCCAAACUAGUUCAGAACUUAACAAUUUUAGCUUCAGAAUCACAUAGGAAGUAUGCAUCGCCCUUUGUACGGCCUUAAUCCCAGCGCUAAUCCCAGGCCUUAAGAAUUGCCAGGGAUUAGCCGGGGAUUAGCCGGGAAUAGCGGGACCUUAAUCCCUGGCCUUAAUCCGCACUGGAAAUACACCCUUACCUGGCUCGAGCCAGGUAGUAUCUUUCCGUAUCUGGAUUAGCAUUCACGGCGCCAUGUCUGACGUUAAUUUCUAGGUAGUUCCAUAUAUAUGAUCUCAAAUAAGCAAUUCCUGUUUUGGGUUGCUCAAAAGGUGAUGAAGAGAUGAACGGCGAGAAGAGUGCGCUUCCUGUUCAUAUCUAAUACUGAUUCAAUUCCUAAUGCCCAAACUAGUUCAGAACUUAACAAUUUUAGCUUCAGAAUCACAUAGAAAGUAUACAUCGCCCUUUGUACGGCCUUAAUCCCAGCGCUAAUCCCAGGCCUUAAGAAUUGCCAGGGAUCAGCCGGGGAUUAGCCGGGAAUAGCGGGACCUUAAUCCCUGGCCUUAAUCCGCACUGGAAAUACACCCUAACUCGAUUACAGAGCUGCGUCAGUUCUUGGGGUUGACCAAUUAUUUUCGUAAAUAUAUUCGGUCAUAUGCUGCGUUGUCGGCACCCCUAACCGAUAUGCUUUGUGGUAAAGCAAACAUAUUGCCCGAGUGGACUCCCUCGGCACGUGAAGCCUUUGAGGUAGUAAAGAAAGCCUUGGCAGACGAUGUCUUGCUUCGGUACCCUGAUUUGACCAAACCGUUCUCUUUUGAGGUGAUUUCGGACGCAUCGUUAAGGGGAACAGGUGCUGUACUUCUCCAAGAUGGAGCCCCUAUUGCGUUCACCAGUAAAACGUUCACGCCAGCCGAGCGGAACUAUACAACGGGAGAGCAGGAAUUGCUUGGUGUAAUCCAUGCCCUAAAAGAGUGGCGAUGCUACCUCGAAGGACCACAUGACGUACGCGUGGCAACGGAUCAUCACCCGUUAUUUUACCUCAAAACGCAACCCACGUUAAAUCGAAGGCAAGCACGUUGGCUUGAGUUCCUUAGUCGAUUUCAUUUAUUGUGGGAACAUCGUGCUGGGAAACUGAAUGUAGCUGAUGCUCUCAGUCGACAUCCCUCACUGAAUGCGAUAACCCGAAGGACGAAAGCAUGUACGCUUCGAGAACGUAUCCUGGCUGGGUAUGCUAAGGAUCCUUGGUUCGGUCAAUCACUAAACGUAGCUACGUAAUGAACAAGGCUACUGGCUCAAGGCGAUGCCUACGGGACGUCGAAGUAUUGUCGUUCCAUGUGAGCCCCAACUACGACAAGAACUGAUAGAUCGCUGUCAUGGAGGACCCAUGGGUGGACACCCAGGAGUCGCUCGCACCCUUGAGUUAGUACAACGACACCAUUGGUGGCCUGGGAUAACAGCAGAUAUCGAGUCUUUCGUACGUUGUUGUGAUAAAUGUCAACGUAACAAAACCUUGUCAGGGCGACAACAUGGUUUGUUGCAACCGUUGCCAAUACCAGACAUGCCGUGGGACAGUGUCUCAAUGGAUUUUGUGGUUGGUUUGCCGCGUACGCAACGACAACACGACGCCAUUUUUGUUGUGGUGGAUCGUCUCACCAAGAUGGCUCAUUUUGUACCAACCAAUACGCAUGUCACAGCCGAGAAAACUGCGGAGUUGUUCCUUGCAAACGUUGUUCGAUUGCAUGGAUUGCCCAAAACAACAGUCUCUGAUAGAGGACCGCAGUUUGCUGGAAUGUUCUGGCAACAUAUGGCUCGUAUGAUCGAUCUUCGUUCAGAUCUGUCUACAGCAUUCCAUCCACAGACCGAUGGUCAAACAGAGCGCAUGAACCGUGUGCUGGCCGACAUGUUACGAAAUUACUGUGAUGGAUCUCCAUCCACGUGGGAUAAAGUUUUAUCCUUGGCGGAAUUUGCUGUUAACAAUUCGGUAAACCGGUCUACUGGUCAAACACCCUUCUUUCUAAAUUACGGUUAUCAUCCUGCAACACCUACUGUACGAGAGUUAGAUGUUACUGUACCAACAGCUAAGGCAUUUGUGCAAACAAUGGAUCAACGCCUAGCUGAUGCUAAACGAUGUUUAUUGGCGGCUCAAAGUCGUACUGAGCAACACUACAACGCCAAGAAAAGGGAUGUUUUGUUUGAGCCAAGACAACUUGUUUUAUUAAGUACUAAAAACUUGCGUUUGCGAGGUAAGGGCAUUCGUAAACUCACGCCUCGUUGGUGUGGCCCGUUCGAGGUCGAACAAAUGGUAGGAAAUGUCGCUGUGAAGCUGAAGCUUCCAAGCAACUUGAAGAUACAUAAUGUAUUUCAUGUAUCGCUUGUUAAGCCCUACCGUACCGAUGGUACUUUUCAACCGUUGCCUGUUGAGCAAUUACCGGAGGAGUUCUCUGAGGAUACUACUUAUCCGAUAGACCGAGUAUUGGACUAUCGCCGCCGGAAGGUGGGACGUAAGUACGUCGAUGAAUAUCUGGUUAAGUGGAAAGGUUUCGAGUCGGAACAUAACAGUUGGGAACCAGCUGACCACUUUACACCGGAUAUGGCUGCUGAGUUGCAGUUCAUUAAGUCCCGUAGUCGUGAGGACACGACUCCUAAAAGGAGGGGAUAAAUGUUGUGGCCUAUGGUUGGUCAAUCUAACCAGUAUGGUUAUGUAAUUAACGAAUCCCAGCAUAUCCCAGUUGGAUAUCGAACGGACGUUCCAACGUUCGAGGCUGAGAUCAACUGACAGGUUGUCGGUUGUGUAAAGUGUGACAGUCGUCAGUCAUACAGUCGCGUCGAUCGACCUAUCCUAUCAAGGAAGGUUAAGAGAAGUCCCGCAGGGCUACGGUCGCCAGUUACCGAUCGUAUAUAAUCCGGUGCGGAUGCCUGGUAGGCAUGAGUAGUCUAGCGCUGCUAUUACUACUGGUGUCGUGGUCACACCCACCUCGCACCUUUACCACCUAUUGUGGUCUGUUUUCCGCUGCUACAUUUCGUUGUAUUCUGGUACGUCUCAACCAGACUCACUACAGUGUGGAUGCGUGUUCACUAGACCGUUUAAAGUUGCAUUAGCCUCCAGAGGUGUAACCUGGGGGCCCAUACGAGCCCUGAGGGGGGGCAAAGGCCAGUUGAAGCCUGCGAAGAUGUAAGACUACCUGAUGCUUCUGCUGGUCUGUGCUUCUGCUCCCUGAUAGUGUGGCCCCCUUGACCGUUCAUCUGUAUCACCCAGCAUGUCAGCCAGUCGUUUGAAAUUGACGAGGUGUUAUGAGGGCAGCUAUAUCUAGUAGAUAUAUUAUCUACACAUCCUAGUAAUAGGCGGCAGAUGUACGUGCAUGACCCGCGUAUUCGCCCCUCACGCGCGUGCCAAACCUUGCGUGUCAACA
This 7274-nucleotide long non-coding RNA is filed under the name Volvox carteri. Its description in RNAcentral is "long non-coding RNA (VCAR_LNC002533)". The record is from RNAcentral. Lineage: Eukaryota; Viridiplantae; Chlorophyta; Chlorophyceae; Chlamydomonadales; Volvocaceae.